Molecule: long non-coding RNA, 623 nt
Organism: Scomber scombrus (Atlantic mackerel)
Lineage: Eukaryota; Metazoa; Chordata; Actinopteri; Scombriformes; Scombridae
Exons: 3
Source: RefSeq, a predicted model, not a curated record
UGAGCGCUCUCUCUCUCUCUGUCACCUGUCUGGAAACACAGAAGAGAAGCAGCGCGAGGACGAGGUAGGCAGUGUAUUAAUGCAAAACAUGAUCAAUAUGAUGUAAAGUGAGAAAUGUAUUUAACCCUGUAGAGCCCAGAGAAAUGUGUUAAUCUGCAGUGUGUUUGAUGACUGUGAGGUUUUAGCAGCAUUAAUGAGGACAGUAUGUUUAUGAGGACACGUGUUAUAAUAGUAAACAUUCAUAAUGAAGAUAUUCUCAUUUCACACAUUUUAUACCAUCUUGCCACUUUUUGUGUUGUUGGAAUAUAAAAGACACAAAUAAUAAAACUAUGAUCAGACUUUAUGAUUCAGCUGAUAAAGAUUUAUACUGUCUGUUAAUUUUUGACUUCAGUUGUUCCAAAGUUCAGAGCUGCUGUUCUGUGAUCACAUUUCCUUAAAGAAGACUUCAGAUUAAAGAUGAACACAGAGAGAUGAGACCUUAAAAACCUCCUGCUAUCCUGCAAACCCAGGAAGAGGAAGACAAAAGAGGAAGAGCUGAGACAAACACUGGUGAUUUGUCUUUGAAGCAGAGGAGCGUCACGUCUCUCUCUCUCUUUCACCUGUCUGCAAACACGGAAGAGAAG